RNAcentral lists this ribosomal RNA (1049 nucleotides) under Salmonella enterica. RNAcentral's name for it is "partial 23S ribosomal RNA". It matches the Rfam family "Bacterial large subunit ribosomal RNA", at positions 711 to 1757 of the family's 2925-position model. Lineage: Bacteria; Pseudomonadati; Pseudomonadota; Gammaproteobacteria; Enterobacterales; Enterobacteriaceae. The record is from RNAcentral.
AGACCCGAAACCCGGUGAUCUAGCCAUGGGCAGGUUGAAGGUUGGGUAACACUAACUGGAGGACCGAACCGACUAAUGUUGAAAAAUUAGCGGAUGACCUGUGGCUGGGGGUGAAAGGCCAAUCAAACCGGGAGAUAGCUGGUUCUCCCCGAAAGCUAUUUAGGUAGCGCCUCGUGAACUCAUCUCCGGGGGUAGAGCACUGUUUCGGCUAGGGGGCCAUCCCGGCUUACCAACCCGAUGCAAACUGCGAAUACCGGAGAAUGUUAUCACGGGAGACACACGGCGGGUGCUAACGUCCGUCGUGAAGAGGGAAACAACCCAGACCGCCAGCUAAGGUCCCAAAGUCAUGGUUAAGUGGGAAACGAUGUGGGAAGGCCCAGACAGCCAGGAUGUUGGCUUAGAAGCAGCCAUCAUUUAAAGAAAGCGUAAUAGCUCACUGGUCGAGUCGGCCUGCGCGGAAGAUGUAACGGGGCUAAACCAUGCACCGAAGCUGCGGCAGCGACACUUUAGUGUUGUUGGGUAGGGGAGCGUUCUGUAAGCCGUUGAAGGUGUCCUGUGAGGGGUGCUGGAGGUAUCAGAAGUGCGAAUGCUGACAUAAGUAACGAUAAAGCGGGUGAAAAGCCCGCUCGCCGGAAGACCAAGGGUUCCUGUCCAACGUUAAUCGGGGCAGGGUGAGUCGACCCCUAAGGCGAGGCCGAAAGGCGUAGUCGAUGGGAAACGGGUUAAUAUUCCCGUACUUGGUGUUACUGCGAAGGGGGGACGGAGAAGGCUAUGUUGGCCGGGCGACGGUAGUCCCGGUUUAAGCGUGUAGGUGUGUGUUCCAGGUAAAUCCGGUUCACUUUAACACUGAGGCGUGAUGACGAGGCACCACGGUGCUGAAGCAACAAAUGCCCUGCUUCCAGGAAAAGCCUCUAAGCAUCAGGUAACAUCAAAUCGUACCCCAAACCGACACAGGUGGUCAGGUAGAGAAUACCAAGGCGCUUGAGAGAACUCGGGUGAAGGAACUAGGCAAAAUGGUGCCGUAACUUCGGGAGAAGGCACGCUGACAC